RNAcentral lists this long non-coding RNA (377 nucleotides) under Citrus x clementina. Its description in RNAcentral is "Citrus clementina (C. clementina) long non-coding RNA (CCLE_LNC002140)". The record is from RNAcentral. Lineage: Eukaryota; Viridiplantae; Streptophyta; Magnoliopsida; Sapindales; Rutaceae.
CUCAAAUUAUAAUGAGAACAGGGUAUCCAAAUUUCUCACUCAAAUAUUUCUUCCCGCACUUGAAAAAUUAUAAAUAUUAUAAUGAUAAAUACGUUAGCAAGACACUAGCAUUUCGCCAACGAGAAUUGACCCAAAAAGAAGAAGAAGAAGAAGAGCAUCAAAUGAAAAUGAAAAUGGCCUAAAAGGAAUAGCUAUUAAUAAAUUCUUUGGUUUGUGAAUUCUGCGAUUCAUGUCAAUUUCGGUCUUCAUUGUGCACGGUGAUAAGAACACGAUCAUAAUUCUCAAUAUCAUCAUCAUCAUCGUUUGAGCUUAUAAUGUUUUUGCCAAUUGAGUCCAAAUCACAAGAUAAGCUCAUCCAGCCCUGUCGGUGAUGAGUU